GAUGAACGCUGGCGGCGUGCUUAACACAUGCAAGUCGAACGGGAUCCAGGCAGCUUGCUGCCUGGUGAGAGUGGCGAACGGGUGAGUAAUGCGUGACCGACCUGCCCCAUACACCGGAAUAGCUCCUGGAAACGGGUGGUAAUGCCGGAUGCUCCGACUCCUCGCAUGGGGUGUCGGGAAAGAUUAUAUCGGUAUGGGAUGGGGUCGCGUCCUAUCAGGUAGUCGGCGGGGUAACGGCCCACCGAGCCUACGACGGGUAGCCGGCCUGAGAGGGCGACCGGCCACAUUGGGACUGAGAUACGGCCCAGACUCCUACGGGAGGCAGCAGUGGGGAAUAUUGCACAAUGGGCGCAAGCCUGAUGCAGCGACGCCGCGUGCGGGAUGACGGCCUUCGGGUUGUAAACCGCUUUUGAUCGGGAGCAAGCCUUCGGGUGAGUGUACCUUUCGAAUAAGCACCGG
RNAcentral lists this ribosomal RNA (459 nucleotides) under uncultured bacterium. RNAcentral describes it as "bacterial SSU rRNA". It matches the Rfam family "Bacterial small subunit ribosomal RNA", at positions 28 to 496 of the family's 1533-position model. The record is from RNAcentral.